GAUGAAGAACGCAGCGAAAUGCGAUACGUAAUGUGAAUUGCAGAAUUCAGUGAAUCAUCGAAUCUUUGAACGCAUAUUGCGCUCUCUGGUAUUCCGGAGAGCAUGCUUGUUUGAGUAUCAGUAAACACCUCAACUUCCAUAUCUUUUUUGAAAUGGGAGUUGGACUUGAGUGAUCCCAACGCUUUUCCUCACCGAAAAGUGGCGGGUUACUUGAAAUGCAGGUGCAGCUGGACUUUUCUCUGAGCUAUAAGCAUAUCUAUUUAGUCUGCCUAAAAAACAGAUUAUUACCUUUGCUGCAGCUAACAUAAAGGAGAUUAGUUCUUGUGCUGACUGAUGCAGGAUUCACAAAGACAGGCUUCGGCCGACUUUGUAAACUCGAUCUCAAAUCAAGUAAGACUACCCGCUGAACUUAAGCAUAUCAAUAAGCGAGGA
This 432-nucleotide unclassified non-coding RNA is filed under the name soil metagenome. RNAcentral describes it as "partial contains 5.8S ribosomal RNA, internal transcribed spacer 2, and large subunit ribosomal RNA". The stretch from base 1 to 120 matches the Rfam family "5.8S ribosomal RNA", at positions 35 to 154 of the family's 154-position model. The record is from RNAcentral.